Molecule: long non-coding RNA, 1536 nt
Organism: Pteropus alecto (black flying fox)
Lineage: Eukaryota; Metazoa; Chordata; Mammalia; Chiroptera; Pteropodidae
Exons: 4
Source: RefSeq, a predicted model, not a curated record
GCUGCCUCCAAUUUCUACUCAUGCAGUUUUCCUUCGCCGAAUUCAUGUUUCUUUAUGUCAAUAGCAUUAAGCCAGACUUUGUUUUUUGGGGGGGGCGUUUUAAAUAGCACUAUUAUCUGUGCUACUUCUCGUAGUUUCUUAUGGUUUAAAAAAAUAUUCUGACAGUUAAAACGGCUCUGAUUAUUAAAAUUUCUCCAGUUGUUGAAAUCUCUGUAAUCGUAAUAGUUCCACGUCAGUGGGAAAGGUCCUGAGUCUCACAGUUUGGCCGGCUGUGUGCGUUCGGCCGUCAUUUGCUGGUCUGACCACAUCUAGACCUGGCUGCCGGGCAGCUGUGGUCUUGAUGGGAACGCUCGUUCCCCUCACUGUGCCCAUGAAGUGGGACAGCUCCAUAGAUGCCGUCAGUACCUCGAUGAUGUUGCUUUCCUGGUCGGGUUGCCAAAUUUAGCAAAUAAAAAUGCACCCAGUUGAAGCUGAAUUUCAGAUAAACAACGAAUAACUUUUUAUAAGCACGUCUAUCCCGUGCAAUAUUUGGGACAUACUUAUAGUUAAAAAUGAUUCGUUAUUUAUCUGAAAUUCAAAUUUAACUGGGUGUCUUGUGAUUCAGGGUGAUUCUAUUUCUUGGAUUCCUGCCAGGAAGGCUACUCUAAGCGUAGGAGUGCCUAGUGUCAUUAAUAAAGACAGAAUCAACUACUCUUGCACCCUGGAAAGUAGGAUUGUGAGGCCAGUUAGGGGGAGAGGAAGUAAGAAAGGCUGAGGCAAGCGCUGACACAGACUGAACUUUGUUAUUCCUGAAGAUUUGGGUUGCCUCAGAAGAGAUCACAGAGGGUUACAAAUAAUUUUUACAGCUCAUACCCAUUCAUUUGAAAGCUGCCACAAUCCCACCCAUUACCCAAACAGAAAACUUAUCAAAGCCAGAGCGAUGAGUGAGGACACCAGAGAUGAUAAAGAAGGAUUUUCACUAUGGAAGCGUUAUUAAAGGAGAAACAGCUUCAUCCUGAGGCUAUCAAGCUUCAUACUCCAUAGUCGUGACACAGAAUAGAGCCCAGUGGACAUCACGGCCUGCUGAGAAUCGCUUGCAGACUAGGACUAAAGACUCAGCGUCCAACCGGUAGUCAGCAGAUGCAGAUGUCUGAAAGGAGCACAGACAUAGGAAGCGGGGGACCCUGCGGAAACAAAUCAGAAGGAACGCGGAAGCCCCUGCUAACUGGACGGGCAGUCCCAGCGGCUGGACAGGCCGAAGACGCCGGCUCACAAUGCUUUCCAUUCUCUUCUCUUUUUUAUUAUUCUCACCCCAUCAACUUCUCUAGGUUUCUGUUUUAUUUCAUUCAUUUAUUUAUUUUUUUAAGAUUCUACAUAUAAGUGAAAUCAUACUGAUUUUGUCUUUCUUUGACUUAUUUCACUUAGCAUAAUAGCUUCUAGGUCUAUCCACAUUGGCACAAAUGGCAUGAUUUCAUUCUAUUUUAUUGCCGAGUAAUAUUAGAUAUAUAUGUGUGUGCGUAUAUACACACCACGUCUUCUUUAUUCAUUCAUCUAUUA